GCGCGUCGCUGCCACCAGGGGUCGCAGCCCACUAACAUGUUGCUGGUCAGGGAGGAAACGAGAGGUGUGAUGAACCUGGGACGUCUAUAGCCUCCUGAACAGCAUCGAUAAAAGAGGGGGACACCUCGAGAAAGCCGCAGACGAGCCGCUCCGGAGCAGCCGGAGCCACAGCUGAGCUUGGACGGGCGAGCCAACACACCGCAGGAAUGUGUGCAGUUACAGGCAAACACAUGCUCGGACGUUACUCAAUGUAGUGGUCUUGUCCGUUUUUAAAGUCCUCUUACAGAAUAAUUGGAAAUACGGGGCUACAUUGCUGCGCCCCCGACGGAAACCUAUAAUUGGAGACGAGCCAGUGACGCGCUGAAAAUAACCAGGUUUCCACUUAGCACCGGUCCAUUUUGGGGAGGGCCCACCACGAGGGCGCAGCACCAUAUAUCAGCUCCUUCCAGCUGUUUGGGAAUAUCCUGCUCAUAAUAUCGAGGCUGCAGCAUGGCAGUAGCAACAGCAGGCUCCGUUCUCUCUCCCCGGCUGUCUCUUUCCAGAAUGGAUAUUGGGUGACUGGUUGGGUGCUGGGUGCGCACCGGGAAUCUCUCGGUGGGAAACGCAAAGGCGUUUUUUUAAGGGAGGGAGGGCGGGGAGGGUAGACUGACACAAUGCGCGACACUGUUGCGUCUGCAUGUUUCCCCCCCUUGGAAAUAGGUGAAAAGAUAGGCCGGGGGGACUGUCCGACUUCUUCCAAAAGAAAAUUCGUUCCCCCACCCCUAAAAGGAUAAUCUUGCUCAAUUUGGGAUGCGUGCAACACCAAGUGAUCAGAUAUUACUGGGGCGGUGGUGGUGGCGGAGGAUAGAUGGUGAAGUUCAACUUCGCUUGCAGACGAGAUCUCCUUCAAACAGCCAGACAACCAACCAGACAGUCGGGGUUUUUUUUCCCUCGAAGUCCCCAUAUGGCUGCGGGAUGCUGACACCUGCGCGGUACGCAGGUAACAAUAACCGGGCAGCAUCACCUACUUCUGCAGACACUGACAGACAGCAGAUCAGCGGCUCGGUGGCUCAGAACCUAUUGUGGAGCCACCAUGGCUGCCAACAACAAGACAUGAUGACAUUGUCCCGUUUUCACGCUGGAGGCCUCCCAGUAAGGAGUUCUCUUGAAUACCUCUUUAGUGUGACAUGGAGUCGGGCCUGCAACCACCAGCGGAGCUGAGCUGAGCUGCAGAGCUGCUGAGACCUGCCAGACCCACAGCUUCCCCUGCCAGGGGCCUCGGCUCACAGUCAGAGUGAGUUAAAACCCAUGCUCCUGACACACACAUGCUAAUCCUGAAACACACAUACGGAUAGCUUAAACAUGUACAGUAUGCAUGCAUGAAUGUAGGCAUACGUGGAACACAUAGUGAAGCUUAUGUGUACAACCAUAAACCUAUACACACAUGCAGACAGAAAAGAAAGAAAAUCCUAUAUGUAAGAAUGCAGAUAAAUGCAAAUGUAUUCACACACUUGCCAGUACAACCAUAUUCUCAUACAUAAUGAUACCCCACUAACAGUAUAUUUUGCCCCAUUGGACCAGUCAAUGCAUCAGGAAGGCCACUGCAUGCACAGCUACUUAUAUAGAUACUGUUAAGUGCAAGAGCUUAGCAGAAGGUGCAUGUGUGUGAGCGAGUGAGUAAGUGACACACGGCAUCAAUAUGUGACUGUAUAUAUACCGUGUAAACAAUAUGUUUUAGCUGCAUAGGUGUGUCAGUAUGUGCUUCUCACUUAAUCUUUUUUCAUCAUGGCUCAGACAGGAUCCCCUACACCCCGUCUCAAGAUGAUGAGAUGAAGCAAGUAGUCUAAGUUUAGAGAGGGUAAUCAAUCCCACAAGUUCCUGGUUUAGUGUCCAUGUUUCCGAUUUUUUUUUUCCUGGGAAAAAAGUUCUUCCACACCACAUGUAAGCCAGUGAAUUGUCUAUUUAUAAUAAUGAAAAGUCUUUAAUGAUUAAUUAUACAUGUAUGCGUCUACCCUGUAAACUCAACCAUGGUGAUUUCCAUGUUUAUAUUGUACUACAGUUAUGUGUUUACAGGUUUCCUAUGAGUUAAAUACAUUCCAUGGCAUCAUGCCCUUACAAAUUAAUUUCAUUUUGAAAAUUAAUUAGUGACAGGGAAUCAAGGGCCGUUUUUCUUAGCUCAAAGUAUGAGGUAAAAUCUUUCUGUGGCUACCGCCCCACAACCAUAUUUACUAAGGAGAAUGAAUUGUAUUGUACAUACUAUAUUACCACAAUGAGAUGAUCAUCAUUAAUAAGGCACAUUGGGUCGUGUUUUUUUUUUCUGCUGUGACAACAUGAAGUGGAACUUUCCAUGCCAAUGUUAUUCAAUCAAUAACUUUUGUGGCAACUGUAGUAGAGUUGAUGUAUGGUUCAAUUAUGUAACUGUUUAAGACUAGGGGAAGAUUGUACUCAUGGUAAAUAUACUACAUGGUUAGGGUGAGGUUAAGUUUGGGUAACUAAAAACACUUGAUGAUGUGAUUUUACACAUCAAAGUCUGUUUACAGGUCUUGGGGAGUACUACAUGAAAAAAAGUUGUAUUUUGUGGCUCCAGAGGGAUCUGCGCAAAAUCUUAUGUAUUGACUCAAGUGAUGUUACUUGAGUCAGCGGCAGUUGGGUCUGAAGACUACUAGUUUGAAAAUUAAAAUAAUUUGGGGGUGUGGAGUUAAAAAGAAGCGAGUUUACCAGACCUCUGUAGCUGCUCCUCAUCUCUGCUUGAGGCUAGUAUGCACUGACUUUACACACUGAGUGCACAUGUGUGGUGUGGAGUUUAUCGGGGCCUUUAGACAACAAAACUGGUAGAAAAAACUUGAAGAAGGUUGAGUGAUGCAUUGCCUUCAAUUAUAGAAUAUAGUUGUAGUUUAUAUUGGCGCUGUAUCUUGACAUAAUCAUAUUUACACUCACUUGAGGGCUGACAAACCGUCUUUUUGGCUGGACGCUGUUUGAAUGUAUCUCAUAGCAGUGUCUGCGUGGUUUGCUAUAGAGCUUGUGUCUACAUUAAUCUCAGGAACAGUGAUGUGGCCCAGAGUUUAAUAGAAUGAGGCGUGGGUGUGGAGUAAGAGGCCCCUGGAGCAGAGUUAAGGUCUUAAAGUACUAAAAAGCUUUUGACCCAGACCCUACGCACCCACUCACAGGGACACAGCACUUCUCUCCCAGCAAAGCACAUACUUUCAUACUUUGGCUAUGCAGCAAAGAAACACACACACACACUUGGAUACACAUGAAAAAAAAACAGACAGAAGAAAGACAAGAUAUGAACUGAAACAACAAACAUACUUUUCUCAGAUGAAGAUGAGCACAAAAAGUACCCAGCCACAGAUGUCGUUGCAUUCGAUGUCCCUAGCUCUAACGAACACACACAUACACAGCAGAACACAUCCUUGUUGUCUUGUGUUGCUCGUCAAUGAGGAGCACAUGACUUAAAUCGGGUGUGGUGUGUGACCUCUUAUCGGACAAAAGCAUCCCACAGAGAGAGCUGAUGGAGGAGACUGUGCCUCCCUGCCUGUCCUGUCUGUCGGCAGUCAUGAGGUCUCGAUCCUGUUCGCCACGCCGUGUCUCGUGGUUAAAAGACCAUAAAAUCUUGGCGGCAUGUUGUCAAUAAUCAGCUGCUUAGCCUUAGGAGAGCGGCAUUAACUUGGGGAAAGGAAGUGCAAAAUACUUCUUUUUAAGGAGUUUAGCAAGAAUGAGGCCUUUGGAUAUUGUUGUCACGUCCUAUAAAUGUCAUACCUACAGGGCCCAAUAUCUCAGUGAGAUUCUCUCAAUGGUUGGUUUGUAUUUCACACAUUUACCCUGAAGCCUCGACAUGCUUAUGCAGUCAUGCAGAGCUAAAUGCAAAUAUUACAAGUAAUAGUGUAUACUGUUUUGUCUCAUUUACUGAUCUCUUUUUAGUGUCUUACUGAUGAGUUUGUAUCAUUUAACGGUCAUAACGAGAUAAUAUCUGUAUGUUAUUUUAAAAAGUCAUAUCAUUCA
This is a long non-coding RNA of Sander lucioperca (pikeperch), 3981 nucleotides long. RefSeq lists it as uncharacterized. The transcript is spliced from 2 exons. NCBI's taxonomy places the organism in Eukaryota, Metazoa, Chordata, Actinopteri, Perciformes, Percidae. The record is from RefSeq and is a predicted model, not a curated record.